This 246-nucleotide ribosomal RNA is filed under the name Bipolaris sp. KUAC cf3901d. RNAcentral describes it as "Cochliobolus sp. KUAC cf3901d partial 18S ribosomal RNA". It matches the Rfam family "Eukaryotic small subunit ribosomal RNA", at positions 159 to 408 of the family's 1831-position model. Lineage: Eukaryota; Fungi; Ascomycota; Dothideomycetes; Pleosporales; Pleosporaceae. The record is from RNAcentral.
UAGAGCUAAUACAUGCUGAAAAUCCCGACUUCGGAAGGGAUGUGUUUAUUAGAUAAAAAACCAAUGCCCUUCGGGGCUCUUUGGUGAUUCAUGAUAACUUUACGGAUCGCAUAGCCUUGCGCUGGCGACGGUUCAUUCAAAUUUCUGCCCUAUCAACUUUCGAUGGUAAGGUAUUGGCUUACCAUGGUUUCAACGGGUAACGGGAAAUUAGGGUUCGAUUCCGGAGAGGGAGCCUGAGAAACGGCU